AUGGUGAGGGUGGAUAAAGAGGAUUUGCGUAUGUACAAGGCUAGGCUGACUUAUUCACUUAGAUGCUUGAGGUUUCUUUUGAACCAAGGAUUGGCAUUUCGUGGACAUGAUGAGAUUGAAGAAUCUAGCAAUAGGGGGAACUUUGUUGAACUUCUUAAGUGGCUUUCAGAAAAUGAUGAAGAAGUUAAUAAACUUGUUUUGAACAAUGCUCCUGGGAAUUGCAUCUUGACUAGUCCAAAGAUACAAAAUCAAAUAAUUGAAUGUUGUGCGGUGCAAACAACAAAAAGAAUUAUUGAAGAUAUUGGUGAUGACCACUAUGCAAUCCUACUGAUGAGUCUAGUGAUGCAUCUCAUAAAGAACAACUUGCUCUCUGCAUACGAUUUGUUGAGAAAUCGGGAAGAGGAUGUGAGAGGUUCCUUGGAGUUGUUCAUGUUGCCAAUACAACUUCAUUGUCACUUAAGGAUGCAAUUCAAACUUUGCUUAAAGAUCAUCAUUUGA
This 498-nucleotide ribosomal RNA is filed under the name Triticum aestivum (bread wheat). RNAcentral describes it as "partial small subunit ribosomal RNA". Lineage: Eukaryota; Viridiplantae; Streptophyta; Magnoliopsida; Poales; Poaceae. The record is from RNAcentral.